This 71-nucleotide transfer RNA is filed under the name Bacillota bacterium. RNAcentral describes it as "tRNA-Gly". It matches the Rfam family "tRNA". Rfam says of the family: Transfer RNA (tRNA) molecules are approximately 80 nucleotides in length. Their secondary structure includes four short double-helical elements and three loops (D, anti-codon, and T loops). Further hydrogen bonds mediate the characteristic L-shaped molecular structure. tRNAs have two regions of fundamental functional importance: the anti-codon, which is responsible for specific mRNA codon recognition, and the 3' end, to which the tRNAs corresponding amino acid is attached (by aminoacyl-tRNA synthetases). tRNAs cope with the degeneracy of the genetic code in two manners: having more than one tRNA (with a specific anti-codon) for a particular amino acid; and 'wobble' base-pairing, i.e. permitting non-standard base-pairing at the 3rd anti-codon position. The record is from RNAcentral. RNAcentral also lists the same sequence under 1 other name. Lineage: Bacteria; Bacillati; Bacillota.
GCGGGUGUAUUUCAAUGGCAGAAAACCGGCUUCCCAAGCCGAGAACGCGGGUUCGAUUCCCGUCACCCGCU